UCGGGAAUUUUGGGCAAUGGGCGAAAGCCUGACCCAGCAACGCCGCGUGAGGGAUGAAGUAUUUCGGUAUGUAAACCUCGCAAGAAUGGGAAGAAUAAAUGACGGUACCAUUUAUAAGCUCCGGCUAACUACGUGCCAGCAGCCGCGGUAAUACGUAGGGAGCAAGCGUUGUUCGGAUUUACUGGGCGUAAAGGGCGCGUAGGCGGCGCGGUAAGUCACUUGUGAAAUCUCUGAGCUUAACUCAGAACGGCCAAGUGAUACUGCUGUGCUAGAGUGCGGAAGAGGCAACCGGAAUUCUUGGUGUAGCGGUGAAAUGCGUAGAUAUCAAGAGGAACACCUGAGGCGAAGGCGGGUUGCUGGGCCGACACUGACGCUGAUGCGCGAAAGCCAGGGGAGCAAACG
RNAcentral lists this ribosomal RNA (402 nucleotides) under uncultured bacterium. Its description in RNAcentral is "bacterial SSU rRNA". It matches the Rfam family "Bacterial small subunit ribosomal RNA", at positions 355 to 774 of the family's 1533-position model. The record is from RNAcentral.